GAAUGCUGACAUAAGUAACGAUAAAGCGGGUGAAAAGCCCGCUCGCCGGAAGACCAAGGGUUCCUGUCCAACGUUAAUCGGGGCAGGGUGAGUCGACCCCUAAGGCGAGGCCGAAAGGCGUAGUCGAUGGGAAACAGGUUAAUAUUCCUGUACUUGGUGUUACUGCGAAGGGGGGACGGAGAAGGCUAUGUUGGCCGGGCGACGGUUGUCCCGGUUUAAGCGUGUAGGCUGGUUUUCCAGGCAAAUCCGGAAAACCAAGGCUGAGGCGUGAUGACGAGGCACUACGGUGCUGAAGCGACAAAUGCCCUGCUUCCAGGAAAAGCCUCUAAGCAUCAGGUAACAUCAAAUCGUACCCCAAACCGACACAGGUGGUCAGGUAGAGAAUACCAAGGCGCUUGAGAGAACUCGGGUGAAGGAACUAGGCAAAAUGGUGCCGUAACUUCGGGAGAAGGCACGCUGAUAUGUAGGUGAAGCGACUUGCUCGUGGAGCUGAAAUCAGUCGAAGAUACCAGCUGGCUGCAACUGUUUAUUAAAAACACAGCACUGUGCAAACACGAAAGUGGACGUAUACGGUGUGACGCCUGCCCGGUGCCGGAAGGUUAAUUGAUGGGGUUAGCGGUAACGCGAAGCUCUUGAUCGAAGCCCCGGUAAACGGCGGCCGUAACUAUAACGGUCCUAAGGUAGCGAAAUUCCUUGUCGGGUAAGUUCCGACCUGCACGAAUGGCGUAAUGAUGGCCAGGCUGUCUCCACCCGAGACUCAGUGAAAUUGAACUCGCUGUGAAGAUGCAGUGUACCCGCGGCAAGACGGAAAGACCCCGUGAACCUUUACUAUAGCUUGACACUGAACAUUGAGCCUUGAUGUGUAGGAUAGGUGGGAGGCUUUGAAGUGUGGACGCCAGUCUGCAUGGAGCCGACCUUGAAAUACCACCCUUUAAUGUUUGAUGUUCUAACGUGGGCCCCUAAUCGGGGUUGCGGACAGUGUCUGGUGGGUAGUUUGACUGGGGCGGUCUCCUCCUAAAGAGUAACGGAGGAGCACGAAGGUUGGCUAAUCCUGGUCGGACAUCAGGAGGUUAGUGCAAUGGCAUAAGCCAGCUUGACUGCGAGCGUGACGGCGCGAGCAGGUGCGAAAGCAGGUCAUAGUGAUCCGGUGGUUCUGAAUGGAAGGGCCAUCGCUCAACGGAUAAAAGGUACUCCGGGGAUAACAGGCUGAUACCGCCCAAGAGUUCAUAUCGACGGCGGUGUUUGGCACCUCGAUGUCGGCUCAUCACAUCCUGGGGCUGAAGUAGGUCCCAAGGGUAUGGCUGUUCGCCAUUUAAAGUGGUACGCGAGCUGGGUUUAGAACGUCGUGAGACAGUUCGGUCCCUAUCUGCCGUGGGCGCUGGAGAACUGAGGGGGGCUGCUCCUAGUACGAGAGGACCGGAGUGGACGCAUCACUGGUGUUCGGGUUGUCAUGCCAAUGGCACUGCCCGGUAGCUAAAUGCGGAAGAGAUAAGUGCUGAAAGCAUCUAAGCACGAAACUUGCCCCGAGAUGAGUUCUCCCUGAGACUUAGAGUCUCCUGAAGGAACGUUGAAGACGACGACGUUGAUAGGCCGGGUGUGUAAGCGCAGCGAUGCGUUGAGCUAAC
RNAcentral lists this ribosomal RNA (1625 nucleotides) under Escherichia coli. RNAcentral's name for it is "partial 23S ribosomal RNA". It matches the Rfam family "Bacterial large subunit ribosomal RNA", at positions 1292 to 2895 of the family's 2925-position model. Lineage: Bacteria; Pseudomonadati; Pseudomonadota; Gammaproteobacteria; Enterobacterales; Enterobacteriaceae. The record is from RNAcentral.